AAGUCGUAACAAGGUUUCCGUAGGUGAACCUGCGGAAGGAUCAUUAUCGAAUUUACCGAGGGUUGUUGCUGGGGUCCCUAACCGGGAUUCAAAGUGCACGCCCUUGUCUAUUCUCAAACCCCUGUGCACUUAUUGUAGGCUCGGUGGAAAGACCGACUUCGGUUGGUCUGAAAGCCUUGCCUAUGCUUUAACACACGCUUCAGUCUAUGAAUGUAACUUUGCGGAUAACGCAUUAAAUACAACUUUCAACAACGGAUCUCUUGGCUCUC
Molecule: unclassified non-coding RNA, 269 nt
Filed under: air metagenome
Description: partial contains small subunit ribosomal RNA, internal transcribed spacer 1, and 5.8S ribosomal RNA
Rfam family: Eukaryotic small subunit ribosomal RNA (bases 1-46)
Source: RNAcentral